UAUAUAAACUUUGUGCAACCGCCAUGGUCUUCCUAGCAUAUAAACAGUUAUAUCACUUCCUUUUUCUUCUUGAAAUAACGUCUUGUAAAUAUACUGUGCAGUUGUUAGCAACUUUCUUCUGUAAAAAAAAAAAUCAUCACAUUAUUAUUUUUACAAAUAAAAAUUCGUUAUCGUUAAAAAAAUAAACCCCGGUUAUAAAGUGUAAAUAUAUAUCCACAUAUAUUUUUUCAGAUAACGUCACAAAAAUCAGUUCAGGUAUUCCAUGAAUAGAACAAUCACGAGCACGUAUCGCACAUCAGACACGAUGACAUCAUCUGUAAUAAGUAUUACGUAGGCGUUCAUUAUUUUAUAAAAAGCUGCUAUCGACUGGAUGAUCAACUCAAUCAACUCUAUAAAUACAAAUAUAAUUGAUAAUUAAUUCAUCGGAAUUUAAUUGGGGAAUUGAAAUUAACGAUAACUGAUAUCAUGACGACGACCAUGAUGAUGAUGAUGAUGAUGAUGAUGAGUGAUAAUUUAAUUAAUCAAGUACUCGCAUGGUAUUUUCUAGAUGAUGGAGUCUAAGGAAUGGAGACUUAUAAUAAAUAAUUUAAAUUAAAAAUAAAAUUACUCACUUUUUAG
Molecule: long non-coding RNA, 618 nt
Organism: Microplitis mediator
Lineage: Eukaryota; Metazoa; Arthropoda; Insecta; Hymenoptera; Braconidae
Exons: 3
Source: RefSeq, a predicted model, not a curated record